Molecule: ribosomal RNA, 507 nt
Filed under: uncultured bacterium
Lineage: Bacteria
Description: bacterial SSU rRNA
Rfam family: Bacterial small subunit ribosomal RNA
Source: RNAcentral
GAGUUUGAUCCUGGCUCAGAUUGAACGCUGGCGGCAGGCCUAACACAUGCAAGUCGAGCGGUAACAGAGAGUAGCUUGCUACUCUGCUGACGAGCGGCGGACGGGUGAGUAAUGCUUGGGAAUGUACCUUAUGGUGGGGGACAACAGUUGGAAACGACUGCUAAUACCGCAUAAUGUCUUCGGACCAAAGCGGGGGACCUUCGGGCCUCGCGCCAUAAGAUCAGCCCAAGUGGGAUUAGGAGGGUGCGAGCGUUAAUCGGAAUUACUGGGCGUAAAGCGUACGCAGGCGGUUUGUUAAGCGAGAUGUGAAAGCCCCGGGCUCAACCUGGGAACUGCAUUUCGAACUGGCAAACUAGAGUGUGAUAGAGGGUGGUAGAAUUUCAGGUGUAGCGGUGAAAUGCGUAGAGAUCUGAAGGAAUACCGAUGGCGAAGGCAGCCACCUGGGUCAACACUGACGCUCAUGUACGAAAGCGUGGGGAGCAAACAGGAUUAGAUACCCUGGUAGUC